This 51-nucleotide unclassified non-coding RNA is filed under the name Moraxella bovoculi. Its description in RNAcentral is "partial miscellaneous RNA". Lineage: Bacteria; Pseudomonadati; Pseudomonadota; Gammaproteobacteria; Moraxellales; Moraxellaceae. The record is from RNAcentral.
ACGAUAUUAUCUGAUUGGCAAGAAUUCACAACAAGUUGUUCUUUAGUAAGA